AACGAACGCUGGCGGCAUGCCUAACACAUGCAAGUCGAACGAAACCUUCGGGGCUAGUGGCGCACGGGUGCGUAACGCGUGGGAACCUGCCCUUAGGUUCGGGAUAACUCCCCGAAAGGGGUGCUAAUACCGGAUAAUGUCUUCGGACCAAAGAUUUCUCGCUUUUGGAUGGGCCCGGGUUGGAUUACCUAGUUGGUAGGGUAAAAGCCUACCAAGGCGACGAUCCAUAGCGGGUCUGAGAGGAUGAUCGGCCACACUGGAGCUGAGACACGGCCCAGACUCCGACGGGAGGCAGCAGUGGAGAAUAUUCGAAAAUGGGAGACAUCCUGAUCCAGCACUGCGGCGUGAGUGAUGAAGGCCGUAGGGUUGUAAAGCUCUUUUACCCGGGAUGAUAAUGACGGUACCGGGAGAAUAAGCACCGGUUAACUCCGUG
This 433-nucleotide ribosomal RNA is filed under the name uncultured bacterium. RNAcentral describes it as "partial 16S ribosomal RNA". It matches the Rfam family "Bacterial small subunit ribosomal RNA", at positions 29 to 507 of the family's 1533-position model. The record is from RNAcentral.